CCCUGGUUAGCUCAGUUGGUAGAGCGCUCCACUUAAAUGGAGAGGUCCCGGGUUCGAUACCCGGACCAGGCG
This is a non-coding RNA of Ixodes scapularis (black-legged tick), 72 nucleotides long. NCBI's taxonomy places the organism in Eukaryota, Metazoa, Arthropoda, Arachnida, Ixodida, Ixodidae. The record is from Rfam.